RNAcentral lists this long non-coding RNA (840 nucleotides) under Gossypium barbadense (sea-island cotton). Its description in RNAcentral is "long non-coding RNA (GBAR_LNC018136)". The record is from RNAcentral. Lineage: Eukaryota; Viridiplantae; Streptophyta; Magnoliopsida; Malvales; Malvaceae.
UAAAACUAAAAGAAAGUUUCCAAUUCUUUCUUUUUAUGUAAGAACUUUUUAGGGUUUUUGAACCCAUUUUUUUUUUUGCACCGCCACCACUAGGUCGUCCCUUGGCCUCCGACGGCACCUCGGCCUCCGAUUGCGACGAAGAGGGGACACCACGACGGCACCAGGUAAGAUCCUUUCUCCUUCUUUCCCUUUUUAUUAUAAAUAAAAAAAUAAAAUAAAAUAGAAAGAAUAGAAAAAAAAUAAAAAAAGUCCCGAUUCACCUUCGAAAAAAAGAAAAUCUUUGUAAUCUCAGUCCUUCCCUCUAUUUUCGUAUCUCUUUUACACUGAAUAAUUCCCCCCUUUUGAGUACAUGAAAUAGGGUUUUUAUAGCCCGAAAAUUGUUUGCUAUUUUACAUGUUUUCUUCUAUUGGACUCUUCAAUCCGUGUUUGCAGGCGAAAGUGGAGAUUUCAGCGCGCGCAGAGGUGGUCGACUCCGGAUCUUGCGGCGGGUGGAGAAGUUGCUGUUGGGAUUUGCAGCUAACUGCUCAGGGUUUCUGUUUUGGGGGUUUGGGCUGUUAAUUGGGCCUGUUUUGAGUGGGUCUGGGUAUUAUUGGGCUUGUAAUGAUGAAAAUCAUAAGAUUUGAAUCCAAAAUAUCAUAAAUUUUACUAUCUCAAUUUUACAAUUUCAACUAAAACCACAUUUAGUUUUCAUAUCAAUUUUUAUUUUUAUAAAUUUAUUACAUAAUUAUUUUUCACCAAUAUCGUAAACAAGGCCCUGACCGCUGGAAAAAAAAAUGUGUUUUAACUCCUCUAAAUUUCAAAAAAUUAUAAAUUAAUACAUGCUAAGAGUGCAUUUUAACC